Molecule: transfer RNA, 56 nt
Filed under: Fukomys damarensis (Damara mole-rat)
Lineage: Eukaryota; Metazoa; Chordata; Mammalia; Rodentia; Bathyergidae
Rfam family: tRNA
About the family: Transfer RNA (tRNA) molecules are approximately 80 nucleotides in length. Their secondary structure includes four short double-helical elements and three loops (D, anti-codon, and T loops).
Source: Rfam by way of RNAcentral
UAGCUCAAUGGUAGUGCACUUGCCUGGCAGGCAAUGAAUCUGGGUUCAACCCCCAG